RNAcentral lists this transfer RNA (72 nucleotides) under Ictidomys tridecemlineatus (thirteen-lined ground squirrel). Its description in RNAcentral is "Spermophilus tridecemlineatus (thirteen-lined ground squirrel) tRNA". It matches the Rfam family "tRNA". Rfam says of the family: Transfer RNA (tRNA) molecules are approximately 80 nucleotides in length. Their secondary structure includes four short double-helical elements and three loops (D, anti-codon, and T loops). The record is from Rfam by way of RNAcentral. Lineage: Eukaryota; Metazoa; Chordata; Mammalia; Rodentia; Sciuridae.
AGGGGUGUAGCUCAGUGGUAGAGCACUUGCCUAGCAUGCACAAGGUUCUGGGUUUAAUCCCCAGCACCACAC